GCAGUGUGCCUUUGGCAGAGUAACUGACCAUCCAACACGAGCCCAUUCCCCAAAGUCUCGAGUCGUCCCGUCUGCUGGGUCCUGAUGAUGCCUUCGGCCUCCGCCUGCUCUGGUGUCAGCCGGCUUCCUCAGGCUUCCUCGGGCUGCUGCUGGGAGAGAAACGCAUAAACACAUUCUUUAACAGGUCUUGAUCCCCGCCCAAAUGCUCACUCCCGACAAGGAUUUCCCGGGCUGCUAACCUUGAAUCUGCGCCCCAUCUCUUUGUAUUCUAGUGCUGCCUUCUCCACACAAAUUAUACAAUUAGGUCGUUUACAUGCUUGAUCAGAAAGAUUGCCUCAGUUUACCUAAAUGUAACCCCCCCCCCCCCCCCGACAAACUACAGAAGUAGAAAAGCAGAAACAACGUCCACAUCGCAGGUUAUUCAGGACUUUCUCAAUCUGGAAGUGGUCCUGCCUCCUGCUUGUGGCUACAAAUUAAUGCUGUUUAGCACCAAGUCACAUUCUAGCCAGAUAUUCUGUCACCCCGAAUCCAGAACCGCACUGGAAUGACUGCCUGGCCACUUCAGCCUCCAAACUGUUUUUAGAGUCAAAUUUCAGUUUCACUAUUGAAAUGGAUUCCAAGAAUUCUCACGAUUACAAAUGCUUCCAAUUCUCCUUCAUUUUAAAACCUCACACACACCGCACACACUGGGGAUUUUGCAACGGUUUUCCUUCCCCUUUAACUACCGAACAGCCCUAACCAGGCUCAGAUAGCUUAGGCUUUUUACUCCUAUUAACUGUUGCCUAGUAUGGAAACAAUGUGGCAACUGAGUCAGCUAAUGUAAAGCCUGUAGAUAAAAAUUGUUAAAAUCAUUCUCCUGAUUGGCCUGGGUUGUCUCCUUAAAUUAGUGUUGGUUCUCCUGAGUAUUUAUUCACUGGCAACAAGGGCUCAUUUACCAUUGAGCUUCGGCCGAAAUCUAUAGGUGACUGGAGUGGCUUUCCCGGUCACGAGGCUGCUCUUCUUAUCCCCCGUUUCCUGCCUCGAGGCUCCAGAGUGUACAAACUUGACGGGUACUGGGGAGCCAUUCAGUGUUCUAGCACAAGCUUGUUUAUUAAAACUGCUGCCGAGAAUCUGCUCUUCAUGUGCUGGCCUCCCCCUUUGGGCCCUGAUGUUUUGCCAGCUUUUCCUCAUGACUCAGGACAUUCAUGCAUUGCUGGUAGAGUUGGGAAUUGAUCCACCCAUUCUGCAGGGCAAUUUGGAACUAUGCCCAAAGGGCGAUAAAAGACUGUCUGCCCUUUGACCCAGCCAUAGCACUGCUGG
This 1299-nucleotide long non-coding RNA is filed under the name Monodelphis domestica (gray short-tailed opossum). RNAcentral describes it as "lncRNA (ENSMODG00000050726.1)". The record is from RNAcentral. Lineage: Eukaryota; Metazoa; Chordata; Mammalia; Didelphimorphia; Didelphidae.